UUGCGUGGGCGCAGCCUGACCGCCUGCCGCGUGAGUGAUGAAGGCCUUCGGGUUGUAAAGCUCUUUUGGCGGGGACGAUGAUGACGGUACCCGCAGAAUAAGCCCCGGCUAACUUCGUGCCAGCAGCCGCGGUAAGACGAAGGGGGCUAGCGUUGUUCGGAAUUACUGGGCGUAAAGCGAGUGUAGGUGGUUGUCCAAGUUGGAUGUGAAAGCCUUGAGCUCAACUCAAGAAAUGCAUUCAGGACUGGAUGGCUAGAGGACCGGAGAGGAUAGUGGAAUUCCCAGUGUAGUGGUGAAAUACGUAGAGAUUGGGAAGAACACCAGUGGCGAAGGCGGCUAUCUGGACGGUUUCUGACACUAAGACUCGAAA
Molecule: ribosomal RNA, 370 nt
Filed under: uncultured bacterium
Lineage: Bacteria
Description: bacterial SSU rRNA
Rfam family: Bacterial small subunit ribosomal RNA
Source: RNAcentral